Non-coding RNA from Pelobates cultripes (western spadefoot toad), 221 nucleotides. Lineage: Eukaryota; Metazoa; Chordata; Amphibia; Anura; Pelobatidae. The record is from the annotation of a GenBank genome assembly.
AUGUCUAAAGACCCAAUAAAUUUUGAACAUUGUGUGGAAAAAGAACUUGAGCAUGUAGAAGGACAGCGUCAGACAGAGGAGAUUACACUCUCUGGAAUUCAAGUUACUUAUUUGCGCUUUGUGAUUUUGUCCAGAUAUGACCCUUUUGUGGCCGUAUACAGUGUUUCAGCUGAAUCAUAAUAUAAUCUGCAAAGUGUUCAAAAGACUACUCUGUGAAAUAG